This 467-nucleotide ribosomal RNA is filed under the name uncultured bacterium. RNAcentral's name for it is "partial 16S ribosomal RNA". It matches the Rfam family "Bacterial small subunit ribosomal RNA", at positions 29 to 507 of the family's 1533-position model. The record is from RNAcentral.
ACGAACGCUGGCGGCGUGCUUAACACAUGCAAGUCGAACGGAAAGGCCCUGCUUUUGUGGGGUGCUCGAGUGGCGAACGGGUGAGUAACACGUGAGUAACCUGCCCUUUACUUUGGGAUAACUUCAGGAAACUGGGGCUAAUACCGGAUAGGAGCUCCUUCUGCAUGGUGGGGGUUGGAAAGUUUCGGCGGUUGGGGAUGGACUCGCGGCUUAUCAGCUUGUUGGUGGGGUAGUGGCUUACCAAGGCUUUGACGGGUAGCCGGCCUGAGAGGGUGACCGGCCACAUUGGGACUGAGAUACGGCCCAGACUCCUACGGGAGGCAGCAGUGGGGAAUAUUGCACAAUGGGCGGAAGCCUGAUGCAGCAACGCCGCGUGCGGGAUGACGGCCUUCGGGUUGUAAACCGCUUUCGCCUGUGACGAAGCGUGAGUGACGGUAAUGGGUAAAGAAGCACCGGCUAACUACGUG